This 1865-nucleotide ribosomal RNA is filed under the name Fragum fragum. Its description in RNAcentral is "partial 18S ribosomal RNA". It matches the Rfam family "Eukaryotic small subunit ribosomal RNA". Lineage: Eukaryota; Metazoa; Mollusca; Bivalvia; Cardiida; Cardiidae. The record is from RNAcentral.
UCUUAAAGAUUAAGCCAUGCAAGUGUAAGUACGGCCCUACUCUUCGAGGGGGCGAGACUGCGGACGGCUCAUUAAAUCAGUUAUGAUUCCCAGGAGCCAGAACCACUUACUUGGAUAACUGUGGCAAUUCUAGAGCUAAUACAUGCACUUCAAGCUCCACCUGCCCCGUUCGCGGGGCGGGAGGUUGCGCACCUGUUAGCCUCGAAAGGCGGUGGCUUCGGCCCCGUCGAAAGGAGAUGAAUUCUGGACAGCUUUGCCGAUCGCACGGCCUUUUGAGCCGGCGACGUACCUUUCAAGUGUCUGACCUAUCAUACUAGAUGGUUUGCGAUCUGCGCACCAUGGUUGCAACGGGUGACGGGGAAUCAGGGUUCGAUUCCGGAGAGGGAGCAUGAGAAACGGCUGCCACAUCCAAGGAAGGCAGCAGGCACGCAACUUACCCAAUGCCGACACGGCGAGGUAGUGACGAAAAAUACCAAUACGGGAGCCGCUACACGCGGUCCCGCAAUUGAAAUGAGUACACUCUAAAUCCUUUAACGAGGAUCUAUUGGAGGGCAAGUCUGGUGCCAGCAGCCGCGGUAAUUCCAGCUCCAAUAGCGUAUGUCAAUGCUGCUGCGGUUGAAACGCUCGGAGUUGGAUCUCGGUGACGGGCCGACGGUCUCGCUCUCGGAGCGAUGCACGGUCGGCGAUAGGGGAGGGUUUAACCGCUCUCCCUUGCCUCCGUCCCUCUGUCCGGAAUGUAUUUGUCCUAGCCCGGGUGCUCUUGACUGAGUCGCUCGGUGCCUGGCCGGACGCUUCACUGUGAAAAAAUUAGAGUGCUCAAAGCAGGCCUCAGUGCCGGUAUAUCGCUGCAUGGAAUGAUAGAGAAGGACCUCGGCGCGUGCCCUCUGGGUGCGGCGCACGAGGUAAUGAUUAAGAGGGACUGCCGGGGGCAUACGUACUGCGGCGCGAGAGGUGAAAUUCUGUGACCGUCGCAGGACGAGCUAAAGCGAAGGCAUUUGCCAAGAAUGUCUUCAUUAAUCCAGAACGAAAGUCAGAGGCUCGAAGACGAUCAGAUACCGUCGUAGUUCUGACCGUAAACUCUGCCUACUGGCAAUCCGCCGACGGUAUCUCAACGACUCGGCGAGCGGCCUACGGGAAACCAAAGUGUUUGGGUUCCGGGGGGAGUACGGUCGCAAGGCUGAAACUUAAAGGAAUUGACGGAAGGGCACCACCAGGAGUGGAGCCUGUGGCUUAAUUUGACUCAACACGGGAAACCUCACCCGGUCCGGACACUGGUAGGAUUGACAGACUAACGCUCUUUCUUAAUUCAGUGGGUGGUGGUGCAUGCCCGUUCUUAGUUGGUGGAGUGAUUUGUCUGGUUAAUUCCGAUAACGAACGAGACUCUUGCCUGCUAAAUAGUUCGGGGACCUAGGUCCGUCCGCUCUGCGGGGGACCUGCUUCGGGUCACUCGAUCGCUCUACGGAGCCAACUUCUUAGAGGCACAAGUGGCGCUUAGCCACACGAAACGGAGCAAUAACAGGUCUGUGAUGCCCUUAGAUGUCCGGGGCCGCACAUGCGCUACAAUGGCUGCAUCAGCGCGAGUCUCUCCUGAAAGGGCGAGGAAACCGCUCAACCGCAGUCCCGGUUGGGAUUGGGGGCUGCAAGUGUCCCCCAUGAACACGGAAUUCCUAGUAGGCGCCAGUCAUCAGCUGGCGUCGAUUGAGUCCCUGCCCUUUGUACACACCGCCCGUCGCUACUACCGAUCGCUCUCGUUAAUGAGCCCGUCGGAUUGGACCCGGUGGGGCGCGUUCGCGUGCCCCGCGUCCUGGUGUUUGCCGAGAAGAUGGGCGAAUUAUCGGGAGUAGAGGAAGUAAAAGUCGUAACAA